AAUCAUAAAGUAUAACCCGGGAUCUACAGCAAAGGUGAAGGUGCAGGGAUUGAGAAUCCACCACCUCUUUUUAGAGGUUGUACAUAUGCUUACAGGCAUGCAAGGAAGGUUUCAUGGCAGGGUGCAAACCUAUCCUAGGUGUAGACGGAGCUCUUUUAAGAGGACCCUACCCUGGUAUCUUAUUGACAGUAGUAGGAAAAGAUGGAAACCAUAACAUCUCUCCUGUUUCCUGGGCAGUAGUGGAGACAAAAAACUCAAAGACUUGAACCUGGUUCUUGGGUUUGUUGAAAGAAGACCUUGGUUGAAUUACAGAUUCAAUUACAUGGGUACUUGAGAAAGAGGAUUUGACUUACAUGUCAGAUAGGCAAAAGGGUUUGAUUGAUGCAUUCGAGACAACUAUGCCCAAUCCAAACACAAGAUACUGUUGCAGACACAUUUGGACCAACUUUAAGAGCAAAUUUCCAGGUGGUGUACAAAUAACAUUUCUAGAAGGCUGCAAGGUCAUCAACAACGCAAUCAAGGAAUCGAAAAAGGAUGCCUUCAAGUACUUAACUGAAAUCCCGGCACAACACUUUUUUUUUUUCUCCAAGUAAAUCUGGUAUGCUCCUUAAUAAUUGUUGUGAGAGUUUUAACAAUGUAUUAAGAGAGGUUAGAUCAAAACCUAUUCUUCAAUUAAUGGAAUGGAUUAGGAGGUACGUUAUGUAAAGGUGUUGUGGUAAAGGGAGGCUUAAAACAUUUUGAGGGUGUCAUAAUACCUAGUGUAGUGAAAAUGGUGCAUAGGGGUCUAAAAGAAGCAAGUGCUAUGAGAAUAAAUCAAGCUAACCUAAAUGAAUUUGAGGUUGAUCAUGAAGAUGACACUUUUGUGGUGAAUUUAGAGAAUAGAACAUGUCAGGUGGACUCUUACGGGUAUACCUUGUUGGCAUGCAUUAGCAUGCAUCCAACUGAGAAGGUUGAACUAUGAAGACUACAUACACCCUGCAUACCAUGUUCAAACCUAUGCCAAAACCUAUGCCUAUGCCUUUAGAUCCAUGCCUGGACAGACCCAAUGGGAAUUGCCACCUUACCCAAAACCAUUGCCCCCUCCACAUAGAGUUAUACCUGGUAGGCCUAGCAAGAAGAAGAGAGUUAAGGAACCAGGUGAUGAUCAAGAAUAAAAAGUGUUAAAAGGGCAAAGAAGCAAAAUAGUUAUGGAAGAUGUGGUGGUCUUGGUCAUUACAAGACCAAAUGCUUCAACUCAAUUAUGCAAAAAUUUCCUAAGGGAAGGGGUAGGAAUGCUGAUGCAUUUCCUGAAGAGACAGGUUCUCAAGCUGCACCAAUUGAGAUUACAGCAGCCAUUACUCCAACUAUUGCUGCUGUUAUCACAACUCCUCAACCAAGAGCUCCUACUGUUGCUUCUGAUGGCACACAAAGAAAGGGGAGGGGUAUGUCAACUACUGCUGCUUCAAAGAAGGGGAAGGGUGAUGCUAGUGCUGCAACUAAAAGGGGAAGGGUGGUGCUUCUGAUGGUGCUCAAAGACAGAAAAAGUCAGUUGCAACAAAGCCUGGAUGUAGGAAGAAUAAAGGUACAACUCAGUCUCAGUAUGUUCAAGCAUCACAGACUUUAGCAUCUGCAACUAGAUAUCCAUCCCUAACACAGUCUCAAGAACAACCUACUCAAAGUAGUAAUCCAAUGAUUUGAAGGCCACUUACUCUGUAUUUUGCUAGAUAAAUUUGUUUAAGUUUGUUUUUUGGUUGAACUAAGUGCUUUUGUGAACUAAGUCCUUGUUUUUAAGGCAAUGCUUUAUUUAGCACUUAUAAUGUAGUGCUUAUUUUGCUAUGAUAUUAAGUUGUGUUAGUUUUGCUUAUAAUUCACUUUCAACAUACCAAUUUGCACACACAAUUUAAGGAACUCUAAUGCAACUUUCAUUUCAUAUUCUCAUAAUUCAAAGUACAUUCAAAAGUACAAAUAAUUAGCACUACUAACUACCUAACCAACUUACUGAAAAACUCACCAAUUCUAGCCAAAGAGUUUCACAAAUAUGAAACUCACAACAACAGAUACAAUAACACACACACAAAUUAUAGACCCAUACUUAACCCCAUCUCCAUUUUACAACCCAGCUACGUUGUUCCUUCUCCAAAGUUUGUUGUUCAGCUUUUCCACUUCUUUGGCUAAUCUUUCCUUCUCAUGCUCAAUACAUGUCAGCCUUGCUCUCAUAAUGUUAAGAUCAAUACAAAGUCUGUGCUUCUCUACUACCAGGAUAUUGGUUACAUCUCUCUGCCAAUCAAUUACACCUUCAUCAACCCACUCAAAUUUGUCGUAACCCCUCUGCCCAGUUUCAUGGUUGUAAAACUUGCAAGCAAUGAAUUUCCUGCCAGGAUUGUCGUGGGUCCAAGAUGUCCUCUUCGCAACAGGAAAUCCACAUUCACAUUUGAUAUCCUUCAAUGGAGCCAUGGUUGCUCCAUAAUUGAGAAAGUUAGGUCUUGUUAGUGCAUAAUCACACUCCAAUUACAAAAGGGGUAAAAAAAAAACCCUAAAUUUUUAUUGACCUACGUAUUUGAUGAACUGGUGAUAAGUCGUGUUUUGUGCAUAUUUGUUAGCUUAUUUUUAGUUGGUUUUAUUAGCUUAGUCGAGUGUUUUAGUCUAUUUUGGUGUAAUUUGGUUUAGUUUCGAUGAUUCGAUGCUUUUAUGGGUAGUUUCGUUGUUUAUGAUGUAUUUCAGGAUUAACGGAGCUAAUUUGGAUAUUUUACGAAGUCACAAAGCUAAACCGAGGCCCACGAACCUUCAUGAGGCUUGUUGAUUGAAGAACGAGCUAUUUAGGGACUUUUGGAGUGAGGCACGUCCGUGCCUAGCAGAGGCACAUACAUGCCUCCAAGUUAGUUUACACAGCUAUGAGCUUCGACAUUAGGCACGUCUGUGCCUAGUAGGGGCACGUCCGUGCCCAAGACUGCAGAAUUACACUCGUCAAGAGGCACGUCCGUGCCUCACCUAGGCACGUCCGUGCCUGCUGCCACUAUCAAGGAGCAGGGGAGGCACGUCCGUGCCCAGCACAGGCACGUCCAUGCCUGGAAGUCAGAAGCCAAGGUUUUGAGCACUCGAUAUGAGGCACGUCCGUGCCUCUUGUAGGCACGUCCGUGCAUCCUGGGAGAAUUAUGCGCCAAGUCUUUUGAGCGUUUUAUUAUCUUUCUAGGAGUAUAAAUACACUAAGUAUUGUAUUAUUUCAUCAUUAAGUUUUUAUUAGUCUAGUUUUACAUUUUUAAAAACCUAGUACUCUCCAUUAUUUUGCUUUAGCUUUUGUAAUUCAAGGUUCAAGAUUUCUACUUUUAAUUCUCCAUUUAAUUCAAGAUUCGGUAUUUUGUUUUCAUCUUUUAUUUCUUAAUUAUG
Chenopodium quinoa (quinoa) is the source of this 3363-nucleotide long non-coding RNA. RefSeq lists it as uncharacterized. Lineage: Eukaryota; Viridiplantae; Streptophyta; Magnoliopsida; Caryophyllales; Amaranthaceae. The transcript has 3 exons. The record is from RefSeq and is a predicted model, not a curated record.